This 490-nucleotide ribosomal RNA is filed under the name uncultured bacterium. Its description in RNAcentral is "partial 16S ribosomal RNA". It matches the Rfam family "Bacterial small subunit ribosomal RNA", at positions 28 to 507 of the family's 1533-position model. The record is from RNAcentral.
GAUGAACGCUAGCUACAGGCUUAACACAUGCAAGUCGCGGGGCAGCAUGGGGGUUGCUUGCAAUCCCCGAUGGCGACCGGCGCACGGGUGAGUAACGCGUAUCCAACCUGCCCUUCACCACGGGAUAACCCGGCGAAAGUCGGACUAAUACCGUAUGUUGUCCAUUGACGGCAUCCGAUUUGGACGAAAGGUUUGGCGGUGAAGGAUGGGGAUGCGUCCGAUUAGCUGGACGGCGGGGUGACGGCCCACCGUGGCGACGAUCGGUAGGGGUUCUGAGAGGAAGGUCCCCCACACUGGAACUGAGACACGGUCCAGACUCCUACGGGAGGCAGCAGUGAGGAAUAGUGGUCAAUGGGCGUAAGCCUGAACCAGCCAAGUAGCGUGCAGGAUGACGGCCCUAUGGGUGGUAAACUGCUUUUAUGCGGGGAUAAAGUGGCCCACGUGUGGGUUUUUGCAGGUACCGCAUGAAUAAGGACCGGCUAAUUCCGUG